UACAGAGGGGGCAAGCGUUAUUCGGAAUUAUUGGGCGUAAAGGGCGCGUAGGCGGCUUGGCAAGUGGAUGGUGAAAUCCCUCGGCUUAACCGAGGAACUGCCAUCCAGACUGCUUUGCUUGAGGCCGGGAGAGGUGAGUGGAAUUCCCAGUGUAGCGGUGAAAUGCGUAGAUAUCUGGAGGAACACCGGUGGCGAAGGCGGCGUCCUGGACCAACACUGACACUGAGGAGCGAAAGCCAGGGGAGCAAACGGG
RNAcentral lists this ribosomal RNA (253 nucleotides) under uncultured bacterium. RNAcentral's name for it is "partial 16S ribosomal RNA". It matches the Rfam family "Bacterial small subunit ribosomal RNA", at positions 524 to 776 of the family's 1533-position model. The record is from RNAcentral.